AAAAUAACGUUUAUUCUGAUUGGCUGUCUCUAGUAAAAAUAACAUUUAUCCUGAUUGGCUCCAUUUCUAGCUCCCAAAGCCCCGUGGAACCCAGCCUGGACAUCAGAACAGCCCCUAAGCUCCUUCCACAUCGUGUGGCAUAACCAUGGCUUCCUCAUCACAGUCAUUCCAGAAAAAGCUGCUUAAUGAUUGAGCCAACCCAUCCAUUUAGGAAGUGGAGCUGACUCGGCUGUGACGAGGGUUUGCGUGAGGACUCUGGUCAGUGACUCUCAAAGGGUGGGCUCCUGGACAGCAGCAACACCCUGAAACUUGUUAGAGGGGGAAAUACUUGGGCCACCGCCCAGAACUGCUGAAUCAGAAACGCUGGUGUUGGACGGCAGCACCGAUGUGUAAACAAGCCUUCCAGGUGACUCGGAAGCAUGCUAAAGCUGGGGACCACUGCUUUAGACCCGGGAGCAGCUUCUGACGUGGGUACCAAGCUUUUGUUCCUUUGUGGACUCCAGCAUCUGUCUGUUUUCCUCCGAGGAUCUGACUGGGAACUGGAGGAACUUCAUUCGAAGCAGUAGGCCUAUCCCAGAUCAUCCUUUUAGGGGAAAAAAGGAGAUGAGGAAGGAUUAGAACCAAACUUUUGGAUGAACUCAGAACAAAUGAUCCACGAGCCAUUCUCUCCUAACACUGAAGGCCGACAGGGUGGAUUUCUUCUCUGCUCACCUGCUGGGUGUCAUUCAACGCCCUGGGAGGACAUGGAAGGCAGAGACAGGUGUUUUACAGGUGUGCUCCCACCUACCUGGGAGGCAGGCAGAAGCUGGCUCUGUCCCCGAGGCAGAGCACUGAAGGCACCAAGAGGUGCGUGGGAAUGUUCCAGGCCACUCAGGGAAUGAGUCAUCAGAGGCAGGAACAGAAGCCAGAUCUUUUGACCCCGGUCCACGCUCUAUCAGAGAACGCCACGCUAAUGAGAGCUGAAGGGACACUGGCUGGAGAAAGCGCGACACUUGUACGCGAGGGCUUGAGUGGGAUUUGUCAUUUGUAGCGAAGGCCCGGAUAUGUGACACAGAGGGGUCCGGGUGUCGGCAGGGGAACACCACCACCACCAGGAAGAACCUGACCGCCCUACCACAUCCCUCUGGGCCAAGGCGUCUGGGGAUGGCUCAACUUACAUGCCGUGUCUCAGCACGUGCCGCUCCCACUCGGAGCCCUGGGAAAACGCCCGCCCGCAAAAUUCACACGGAAAGCGCUUCUGAGGGUUCAUGGCAGCCCCGUGGUCAGCAAACCUCAUCAGAUCUGUAAGGAGAAAGCGGAGCAAGCGUUACCCGAGUGCUGCGGGAGGCGGCGGAAGAGGUAAGCCAGCGUUUAGGAGACCUCCGUCCCUCCCUCGUCACACCAUUUGUGAGAGCGAGUUCCAGAUCCCCUGUCCUUCCUCCCACCGGCUUUUCACCCGAGGGCACUUCUGGAACGGCUCUCAAGAACUGUACCUGGCUCCCAGGACCCACGCGUGCCCGUCCCCACCUCUCCAGCUGCUUCUGUCACAAACAACCGGGGUCAUUCCCACGGCGCCUGAGCAGCUUGUCUAUUAAAUCUCCCCCGCCCGUGAUGGUCUAGCAGUGCCUCACCGUUUAGCACUAUUCAUUUUCUACUUGACAUGAGUUUGUUCACUAAAAAGAAUACAGGCUCCCGAAAGCAUGGACCAGGUUACGCGCAGACCCGGGGGUUUCAGUGCCUUCCAGUGGGAACGCCGUCCUGACUCUCGAUGGCGGUCACCUGUCACGGAUGUCACCAUCAACACCUCACGGGCUCCGAGCACCGAAUGCCUGAAGGUGUGUGCUGGACCACGGGAGGCCGGCGUGUGAAAGCAGGCGUGACCUCGGCUAACGAGGGAGCCUGGCCAGCUGCCCGGCCCUUACUACUCAAGCGGUGAAAUACGGAAGGCGGGGACAUGCAGACAUUUGGACAGGUCUGUUGUAGACAUCAAACGUGGACUGUCAUUGUUUUUUUCUCCUCUGUGGCACUGGGCACAUGGUAGGGUCUGAUAAGCGUGGGUUGGGCGGCUAAUUGUUUACAGGCCACUCCUCCUGGCAGCCUCCACGACAGGAACUUUUGUGACCUUUGUGGGAUCGGAGUCCCAGCCCAUGUGUCCUUCAUGACAACACAGCGGGCCAAAUUCUCCCGGGGGCUAGCACCAACCAUCUCCCCAGAUCUGAUCUCUCGGUGCCUGUCCGUACAAGAUGUUACAGCAGUGGUUCUCAACCAUCCUAAUGCUGCGACCCUUUAAUACAGUUCCUCAUGGUGUGGUGACCCCCAACCAUAAAAUUAUUUUCGU
Myotis myotis is the source of this 2317-nucleotide long non-coding RNA. RefSeq lists it as uncharacterized. The record is from RefSeq and is a predicted model, not a curated record. The transcript has 6 exons. Lineage: Eukaryota; Metazoa; Chordata; Mammalia; Chiroptera; Vespertilionidae.